CCCUUAGACGUUCUGGGCCGCACGCGCGCUACACUGACGAAGGCAGCGAGCUUUCCUUUACCGAAAGGUACGGGUAAUCUUUUGAAACUUCGUCGUGCUGGGGAUAGAUCCUUGCAAUUAUUGAUCUUAAACGAGGAAUUCCUAGUAAGCGCAAGUCAUCAACUUGCGUUGAUUACGUCCCUGCCCUUUGUACACACCGCCCGUCGCUACUACCGAUUGAAUGGUUUAGUGAGGCCUUCGGAUCCGCGACUCGUUUUGUGGAGAAGUUGGACAAACUCAGUCAUUUAGAGGAAGUAAAAGUCGUAACA
This 308-nucleotide ribosomal RNA is filed under the name uncultured eukaryote. RNAcentral describes it as "partial 18S ribosomal RNA". It matches the Rfam family "Eukaryotic small subunit ribosomal RNA", at positions 1470 to 1796 of the family's 1831-position model. The record is from RNAcentral.